UACGAAGGGGGCUAGCGUUGCUCGGAAUCACUGGGCGUAAAGGGUGCGUAGGCGGGUCUUUAAGUCAGGGGUGAAAUCCUGGAGCUCAACUCCAGAACUGCCUUUGAUACUGAGGAUCUUGAGUUCGGGAGAGGUGAGUGGAACUGCGAGUGUAGAGGUGAAAUUCGUAGAUAUUCGCAAGAACAGCAGUGGCGAAGGCGGCUCACUGGCCCGAUACUGACGCUGAGGCACGAAAGCGUGGGGAGCAAACGGG
Molecule: ribosomal RNA, 253 nt
Filed under: uncultured bacterium
Lineage: Bacteria
Description: partial 16S ribosomal RNA
Rfam family: Bacterial small subunit ribosomal RNA
Source: RNAcentral